GGACUCGUAGCUCAGCUGGUUAGAGCGCUGCAUUCACAUUGCAGAGGUCACUGGUUCGAAUCCAGUAUCGCCCA
RNAcentral lists this transfer RNA (74 nucleotides) under Coxiellaceae bacterium. RNAcentral's name for it is "tRNA-Val". It matches the Rfam family "tRNA". From Rfam's summary of the family: Transfer RNA (tRNA) molecules are approximately 80 nucleotides in length. Their secondary structure includes four short double-helical elements and three loops (D, anti-codon, and T loops). Lineage: Bacteria; Pseudomonadati; Pseudomonadota; Gammaproteobacteria; Legionellales; Coxiellaceae. The record is from RNAcentral.